RNAcentral lists this ribosomal RNA (460 nucleotides) under uncultured bacterium. RNAcentral describes it as "partial 16S ribosomal RNA". It matches the Rfam family "Bacterial small subunit ribosomal RNA", at positions 338 to 795 of the family's 1533-position model. The record is from RNAcentral.
CCUACGGGAGGCUGCAGUGAGGAAUAUUGGUCAAUGGACGAGAGUCUGAACCAGCCAAGUAGCGUGAAGGAUGACUGCCCUAUGGGUUGUAAACUUCUUUUAUAUGGGAAUAAAACAGGGUAUGCAUACUCACUUGUAUGUACCAUAUGAAUAAGCAUCGGCUAACUCCGUGCCAGCAGCCGCGGUAAUACGGAGGAUCCGAGCGUUAUCCGGAUUUAUUGGGUUUAAAGGGAGCGUAGGUGGGUAGUUAAGUCAAUUGUUAAAGUUUGCGGCUCAACCGUAAAAUUGCAGUUGAAACUGGCAUACUUGAGUACAGUAGAGGUGGGCGGAAUUCGUGGUGUAGCGGUGAAAUGCUUAGAUAUCACGAAGAACACCGAUGGCGAAGGCAGCUCACCGGACUGCAACUGACACUGAUGCUCGAGAGUGUGGGUAUCAAACAGGAUUAGAUACCCGUGUAGUC